This 253-nucleotide ribosomal RNA is filed under the name uncultured bacterium. RNAcentral describes it as "partial 16S ribosomal RNA". It matches the Rfam family "Bacterial small subunit ribosomal RNA", at positions 524 to 776 of the family's 1533-position model. The record is from RNAcentral.
UACGUAGGGUCCGAGCGUUGUCCGGAAUUACUGGGCGUAAAGAGCUCGUAGGUGGUUUGUCGCGUUGUCCGUGAAAACUCACAGCUCAACUGUGGGCGUGCGGGCGAUACGGGCAGACUGGAGUACUGCAGGGGAGACUGGAAUUCCUGGUGUAGCGGUGGAAUGCGCAGAUAUCAGGAGGAACACCGGUGGCGAAGGCGGGUCUCUGGGCCACUACUGACGCUGAGAAGCGAAAGCAUGGGGAGCGAACAGG